GUAGGUGAACCUGCGGAAGGAUCAUUAUCACGUAUUAUCCACGUUAUAAACCCUUUCUUUGAACUGUUUUCAAACACUUUUGGUGGUUUUUUUGGGGGUUGGUUUAUUCCAAUUCUCGAUUUUCCACUACUAGUACAUUUUUUAUCAAUUCAUUUUGAUAGAAUUUAAUUAAACACUAUUAACCCAUUUUGAUAAAUUGAACUAAUUUUAUUUUAUACUCCGAUCAAAAGGAGAUAAAAUUCAUUACGAAACAAAGAACAACUCUUAGCAACGGAUAUCUUGGUUCUC
This 288-nucleotide unclassified non-coding RNA is filed under the name rhizosphere metagenome. RNAcentral describes it as "partial ribosomal RNA internal transcribed spacer region". The record is from RNAcentral.